UUUAUUAAAGAUAGGUUUACAAAUUCAACAAAAAAAACCAGGAAUAUUUAAAAUGUUCAAUGGAAGAAAAAAGUACUUUCUCAAAGUCCACUGACAGCCUUCUUAUAAAUAUCUUAUAAAAUAUAAACUUCAUCAGAACUGCUGUCAUAUGAAAUAGCAUUAGCCACUGAGUCUCACGUCUAAAAGAAAACUGAAGCAGAUGUCACAAUUGAUCCCUCUGUCACCUCAACUGUUUUGGCUAUAGCAAUUUGAAAACUAAUUAUCUUCAAUCUGAGAGAAAACAACACCUCUCACUGUUAAAAAUUGUGUGCCAGAACAAAUGCUUUUAAUAUAUGUUUCUAAAAUAGCUGGUGAAGUUGCUAGUAAACACCUUCCUAAAUGCCUUACAUAUGAAACAAGAAAAGCCUAAGAAGAAACUGAUCCGGAAAUGGAGUUUUUUGAUGAAGCUUUUCCCUCUAAAGAAAAUAAUAAGUAGUUUUAUAUUCAUUCUUUUGGGUUAAAAUAUUUAGUUUGGGUUUUUUCCAGUAGGGUCACAUGGGUUUUCAUCCUCUCUUUCUAAUUGGAAGAGUUUGUAUUUCUUACAUAUACAACACAGAAGGUGGUAAAAGCAGGCACUUGGUGGGGAUGACAAAACGAAUGUGUGAUUGUGAAUAUUUUUUUUAAAGGAUAAAAUUAAGAAAAGCAAGGCUAAUUUGCAAAGUGGGUAAUCAAGGGUUAAUCUACCAAGUUAAUUAAGCAGCAUCAGAAAUAAUCUCUCUCUUCCAGUUCAAAGAAGUACAGGAAGAUAAGAGAUAAUAACAAGAGUCCUUAUGGGCUAGCACUGUUCUAAGUACUUUAUUGGUAUUACUUUACUUCAUCUUCCCCUAAUUCCUAGAAGGUAGUCUUUUACUUACAGAUCAGGAAACUGAGGCACAGAUGGUUAAGCAACCUGCCUAAAUGCAGAGAGUGACAGAAGCGAUGAGGCCCAGGACUCAAAUGCAGGCAGGCAGAUUCCAAGCCAGCUCUGCUAAGAGCUCUCCUCUCUCUCAACCAUCUGGUCAAGACCUCUAAUUUCAGAGUGCUCUAGAGAAGGGAAAUGAAUGGUUCAACUAAAAAGCCUACACACUCUAGAUUCAAAUACCUUUUCAAAACACAACUAAAUUAACAAAGAAAAACACAUCAACUGUCUUAAAAACAGAAAAGAAAAAAGCUGAUCAUUCUGAGCAAACCUCAUGCUGAUUGGAAAGGCAUGGAAUAUUCAUUUUCUAUCACUAGUGCACAAACACAGAUAACACAGCUGGUCACACAGCAACUGAUAAUCUCAUCCUUUUUAUAACUGUACUCAAUGAAACAUGUUAAGACAACAGAAAAUACCCCCCAAAACAAACAAAAAACAAACAUUAAGCAGAUUUUGAGAUUUAUUAAAAUAAAGUAUUAGCAAACGAUAUGCAAAAACAAAGUUCUUAAGAGUUAUGCUUUGAAAAGCACAAUAUAGUAAAACCUAAUACAUUUUCAUAAGUAUCAAAAAGAUAACAGAAUUGAAGCAUGUUGCUAGAAUUUCAUUGUCUACAACAUAAACAGAAGCAGAACAAGUAUAAGUAAGAAGCGGACCUACAGUGCAGCCAUUGUUUGGUCUUUAUCAUCUGCAUAUGACAUAGCUUUUUACAAGAACAUGGGCAGUUACAUACAAAUACCCAGUUUUCAUGAUUAUAGUUUUACCCAAUUUUAAUAAAAUGCAACUUUAACCAACCAGGUUAAGGAGAAACCAACCAUUUUCUUCAAGAGUUCCUACAAUUAAAAUACUCUAUGAAUAAAUCAAAGCAACAUCAUCUCCAAUAGUACUAGGAAGGGAAUAUCAGACUCUAAAAGAUGUAUUCUUUACUUGGGAUUGUCUGGUCUCAUUGGGCUUUUGUUAUAGCUAAGAAGGCACUAUCUAUCAAUGGGGUAAAACAAGAGCUACCUCUACAUAAAAUUUUGAACUUUUUAAAAGCAAUCUCUUCAAAUAAAUCCUUAUGAUUUUAAGAAUUUUAAGAACUGAAUUAUCUGAAAGACAACCACACACACCUUUUUCUCUCUGUCAUAAACAGUAGAAGUAGCCUGUUCCGAGACUCAAUCUUUUCAAUAAAACAACUCAUCACUUGUUACAGCAAUUGCUACCAGCAAAUAUUACAGAAUAUGCUCCUAUUUUUAAAAAACAUUGAUAGGUAAAAUCCAUCUUAUUGGUUUUUGUAAAUCAUCCAAUUUUAGGGUAACAUUUCAAUUAUAAUAACUGCAUUGUAGAAGAUGAGUUUCUACUAUGAAAAAUCCAGUCUUACAAAGGCUUGACAAAUACCAUUACCUCUUGUAAUUAGGACAGGCUAAACCGCAAACCAGUGAAUUACAAAGAACUGUCCAAGUUUCUGUUCAGCAGGUAUGAUUCUUUAGAAGAAAUGCCUCAAAUUCUCUCUCCAUGCAUGCAUCUUCUGUAAGAAGAAAACCUCCCCAGAUUUCCACCUGUAUUAAUCAAGAAAAUGUUCCUGCUUCGGGGGAAACAGGCAUCAAACCUGAGAUUACGACCCCAAAAGCCGUGCUACUGAAUACCUGAAGAGAUGCCCAUAAACUUCUGCCAAGGAGAAUCACCAAACCCUUCUAAAAUCACCAGGCUAUCUACAACCUUAAAGAAUUCUUGCUUAUGGAGCUGACGGACACAGACUUAGAUUCCUACCUGAGAGAUUAGGUGAGGAUGUAACUAAGAGCACAAAGAAGAGCCCCGAGCCUCCUCAAAGUUAACAGGUCCAAGAUCUCAAUCGUCACUGGAAGUGGAAUUUAAGAUUUAUCUAAAGACUCCUCCUCAGAGAGUAUAAAAAGCUACUUACAUAUUUUAGUGGGACACGAUAAUGAUCCAAAGUACUGUUUAGCAGGCAACUAGGAAACGUGUAAAGAGAUGGCUCUAAACUGGUGUACUAGAUGCUCUCUGUAACAGAAGGACAGCUCUGACACGGGCACCGCCAAACUUUAGAGUUUCUCCGCUACAGGCCUGAUUUCAUUUUUGUAUAAACUUUCUCCUUCAAAAGAACUCUAUUACAGGGGAACCGUCUCCCACAGGUACUGGAAGGUCAUACCGAAGGUUUUAUAAUGUGAGCCCCAGUCCUUAUCUUGACAAUAGAUUUCAGAUCUGAAUUCCUGCUGAUCAUUUACAUCCUAGACGAAUGUCUUACUCUCAAAUGUUAUGAAAAGUAUAAAACAGCUACACCCUCUUUCUGUACUAUUUGGUUUAGCUUGUUGAACUACCUAGUAAUAUUACUGUGGAUUUCACCUCAGAAACCCAGCCAACUCUAUUAUUAUAGUUUAUUUAUAUAACAAGAAAACGUAAAAAAGGGUUUAUACUCUGAUGUAUAUAUGUGUCAUUUAGACUGAUACCUUCCUUAAAUUUUCUCUAUAAAGAAAAAGAGUUCACUUCAGCAGACCAAUAACAUGUCUACUAGUUUCUAUUCCAUAACCUAAGACAGGUAAUUAGGAAGAGAUGUUAGUCAAAUGCACCUUUUAAAUCUUUUCCAGUCAAUAUCUUUUUGUUGCUUUAAUGAAUUACUGAGAUUAAUUUUGAUACUAUUUCUCUUUUUGCAUUUAUCAAACUAGUUAUAAUUUUAUUAUUCCCAGACUCUCUUUUCAGCUGGCAUAUAUUUAUUUAUAUGUUGUACAUGCUAUAAAAUGUGAUUUUUCUGGUAGUGUUGAUGUUUUCAUAAAUUCGACUAUAAACCAUCCUGAGGAUUACGUAAAAACUUUGAACUGUAACUUUCUGAAAUGGUUUCUCUCAGGCACCUUUUACACUGGUAGAAUUUUACUUAGUUUUUUAAAUCUCACUGGCAAUUUUUAUUUCCCAUCCAUUCCUACAUUGAGAAACCACAGGAAUUAUAGAAUCAGCUGGACUGAAGGAAGAUAGUUCAGUUUUGGAAAUAAAACAGCCUUAUAGUUCUCACGAAACUCUUCACAGUUAAAAACUUGAGUACUAUCCUUCAUAAGCCACACCUCCGUAGAGAAAAUACAGAAAAAGCCAAUCACAUAAAAUCCCAUUAACUCUAAAGGCUGUUACAUGAAUAAAAAAUGAUUUUUAAUUGACUCCAAAGAAAGUAUCAAUAAAACAAUUCAACAGUUUCCACCAGCUCAAGCCCACCGAAGUUGAUUACAUGUAUCUGCCAUUCAACCUGGGUGGUUUUUCUACAAACGUGUUCCAAAGAUUGUGCCAUGAGCCUGGUAAGUAAAAGAAUGAUGGAACUAGCUAAGUUCUAUCACUAAGCAAAUAAUCCUCUUUUGUGUGGCUGAUACAUUUCUGGAAGACUGAGUAUGCAUGUCAUGCAAAACUUAGGUUUAAGGCUCAGGUGACUGUCAGAAAGUUUCCUUUUACUUAAGCAAAGGACUGUGAGCAUGAAACACAUAUGGCACUUCAUCUGAGAGAAAUGAAACCAUCCCCUGGCUGCACUUUAUAAAAGCAAUAAACAAUGUUAUGGAAAACAAAAGGAAUCACAUUCUCCUUUCCUCAAAAAAAAAAAAAAAAUGCAUUUUUCCCCCCCGCAUAAAAGCAGAAAAAGUAGAAAGUCAAACCAAACUAAGAGUUUAAACAGAAGACAGACAUGGCUCCACAUACUUUCAAAAGGCACCAGAAAAUAAGCUUCUUCUCUUAGGUAAAUUAGGUGAUUUUUCCCCCCAAAAUAAUGUCUUUCGUUCUUCAUGCCACAACUAAGGGUCCAUUUGGCUGCUCCACAGAAAAAGAGGUUAAGAGUCCUUUACUCAAAGGCCUUAAGUACAAGUGAUUAAAUGGAUAUUUUAGAGUUUUUCACAUCUUUCCUCUGAGGACUGCAGAGACUAGCAUCCACAUAGGUGCUGGGGGAAAAAAAAAAAA
This 4855-nucleotide long non-coding RNA is filed under the name Sus scrofa (pig). Its description in RNAcentral is "lncRNA (ENSSSCG00015000811.1)". The record is from RNAcentral. Lineage: Eukaryota; Metazoa; Chordata; Mammalia; Artiodactyla; Suidae.